This 164-nucleotide ribosomal RNA is filed under the name uncultured bacterium. RNAcentral describes it as "partial 16S rRNA". It matches the Rfam family "Bacterial small subunit ribosomal RNA", at positions 355 to 511 of the family's 1533-position model. The record is from RNAcentral.
UAGGGAAUCUUCCACAAUGGACGGAAGUCUGGUGGAGCAACGCCGCGUGAGUGAAGAAGGGUUUCGGCUCGUAAAACUCUGUUGUUAAAGAAGAACAUAUCUGAGAGUAACUGUUCAGGUAUUGACGGUAUUUAACCAGAAAGCCACGGCUAACUACGUGCCAG